Molecule: ribosomal RNA, 754 nt
Filed under: uncultured bacterium
Lineage: Bacteria
Description: bacterial SSU rRNA
Rfam family: Bacterial small subunit ribosomal RNA
Source: RNAcentral
AAUGAACGCUGGCGGCGUGGAUAAGACAUGCAAGUCGAACGAAAAGUGAUUUAGUUUACUAAUGAUCUUUUAGUGGCGGACGGGUUAGUAACGCGUGAGCAACUUGCCUCAAAGUGGGGAAUAGUCCUGGGAAACUGGGCAUAAUACCGCAUGUGCUCUUCGGAGUAAAGCUGGCCUUCGGGCUGGUGCUUUGAGAUAGGCUCGCGUCCUAUCAGCUUGUUGGUGAGGUAAAGGCUCACCAAGGCUACGACGGGUAGUUGGUCUGAGAGGACGACCAGCAACACUGGAACUGAGACACGGUCCAGACACCUACGGGUGGCAGCAGUCGAGAAUCAUUCACAAUGGACGAAAGUCUGAUGGUGCAACGCCGCGUGUGGGAUGAAGGCCUUAGGGUCGUAAACCACUGUCAUGUGAGAGUAAGGCUUAUAAGUUAAUACCUUGUAAGUUUGAUAGUAUCACAAGAGGAAGGGACGGCUAACUUCGUGCCAGCAGCCGCGGUAAUACGAAGGUCCCGAGCGUUAUUCGGAAUCACUGGGCGUAAAGGGAGCGUAGGCUGCGCGGUAAGUCAGAUGUGAAAUCUCAAGGCUCAACCUUGAAACUGCAUCCGAUACUGCCGUGCUAGAGUAAUGGAGGGGUAACUGGAAUUCUCGGUGUAGCAGUGAAAUGCGUAGAUAUCGAGAGGAAGACCAACGGCGAAGGCAGGUUACUGGACAUUUACUGACGCUGAGGCUCGAAGGCUAGGGUAGCGAAAGGG